This 2923-nucleotide ribosomal RNA is filed under the name Staphylococcus aureus. RNAcentral describes it as "23S ribosomal RNA". It matches the Rfam family "Bacterial large subunit ribosomal RNA". Lineage: Bacteria; Bacillati; Bacillota; Bacilli; Caryophanales; Staphylococcaceae. The record is from RNAcentral.
GAUUAAGUUAUUAAGGGCGCACGGUGGAUGCCUUGGCACUAGAAGCCGAUGAAGGACGUUACUAACGACGAUAUGCUUUGGGGAGCUGUAAGUAAGCUUUGAUCCAGAGAUUUCCGAAUGGGGAAACCCAGCAUGAGUUAUGUCAUGUUAUCGAUAUGUGAAUACAUAGCAUAUCAGAAGGCACACCCGGAGAACUGAAACAUCUUAGUACCCGGAGGAAGAGAAAGAAAAUUCGAUUCCCUUAGUAGCGGCGAGCGAAACGGGAAGAGCUCAAACCAACAAGCUUGCUUGUUGGGGUUGUAGGACACUCUAUACGGAGUUACAAAGGACGACAUUAGACGAAUCAUCUGGAAAGAUGAAUCAAAGAAGGUAAUAAUCCUGUAGUCGAAAAUGUUGUCUCUCUUGAGUGGAUCCUGAGUACGACGGAGCACGUGAAAUUCCGUCGGAAUCUGGGAGGACCAUCUCCUAAGGCUAAAUACUCUCUAGUGACGAUAGUGAACCAGUACCGUGAGGGAAAGGUGAAAAGCACCCCGGAAGGGGAGUGAAAUAGAACCUGAAACCGUGUGCUUACAAGUAGUCAGAGCCCGUUAAUGGGUGAUGGCGUGCCUUUUGUAGAAUGAACCGGCGAGUUACGAUUUGAUGCAAGGUUAAGCAGUAAAUGUGGAGCCGUAGCGAAAGCGAGUCUGAAUAGGGCGUUUAGUAUUUGGUCGUAGACCCGAAACCAGGUGAUCUACCCUUGGUCAGGUUGAAGUUCAGGUAACACUGAAUGGAGGACCGAACCGACUUACGUUGAAAAGUGAGCGGAUGAACUGAGGGUAGCGGAGAAAUUCCAAUCGAACCUGGAGAUAGCUGGUUCUCUCCGAAAUAGCUUUAGGGCUAGCCUCAAGUGAUGAUUAUUGGAGGUAGAGCACUGUUUGGACGAGGGGCCCCUCUCGGGUUACCGAAUUCAGACAAACUCCGAAUGCCAAUUAAUUUAACUUGGGAGUCAGAACAUGGGUGAUAAGGUCCGUGUUCGAAAGGGAAACAGCCCAGACCACCAGCUAAGGUCCCAAAAUAUAUGUUAAGUGGAAAAGGAUGUGGCGUUGCCCAGACAACUAGGAUGUUGGCUUAGAAGCAGCCAUCAUUUAAAGAGUGCGUAAUAGCUCACUAGUCGAGUGACACUGCGCCGAAAAUGUACCGGGGCUAAACAUGUUACCGAAGCUGUGGAUUGUCCUUUGGACAAUGGUAGGAGAGCGUUCUAAGGGUGUUGAAGCAUGAUCGUAAGGACAUGUGGAGCGCUUAGAAGUGAGAAUGCCGGUGUGAGUAGCGAAAGACGGGUGAGAAUCCCGUCCACCGAUUGACUAAGGUUUCCAGAGGAAGGCUCGUCCGCUCUGGGUUAGUCGGGUCCUAAGCUGAGGCCGACAGGCGUAGGCGAUGGAUAACAGGUUGAUAUUCCCGUACCACCUAUAAUCGUUUUAAUCGAUGGGGGACGCAGUAGGAUAGGCGAAGCGUGCGAUUGGAUUGCACGUCUAAGCAGUAAGGCUGAGUAUUAGGCAAAUCCGGUACUCGUUAAGGCUGAGCUGUGAUGGGGAGAAGACAUUGUGUCUUCGAGUCGUUGAUUUCACACUGCCGAGAAAAGCCUCUAGAUAGAAAAUAGGUGCCCGUACCGCAAACCGACACAGGUAGUCAAGAUGAGAAUUCUAAGGUGAGCGAGCGAACUCUCGUUAAGGAACUCGGCAAAAUGACCCCGUAACUUCGGGAGAAGGGGUGCUCUUUAGGGUUAACGCCCAGAAGAGCCGCAGUGAAUAGGCCCAAGCGACUGUUUAUCAAAAACACAGGUCUCUGCUAAACCGUAAGGUGAUGUAUAGGGGCUGACGCCUGCCCGGUGCUGGAAGGUUAAGAGGAGUGGUUAGCUUCUGCGAAGCUACGAAUCGAAGCCCCAGUAAACGGCGGCCGUAACUAUAACGGUCCUAAGGUAGCGAAAUUCCUUGUCGGGUAAGUUCCGACCCGCACGAAAGGCGUAACGAUUUGGGCACUGUCUCAACGAGAGACUCGGUGAAAUCAUAGUACCUGUGAAGAUGCAGGUUACCCGCGACAGGACGGAAAGACCCCGUGGAGCUUUACUGUAGCCUGAUAUUGAAAUUCGGCACAGCUUGUACAGGAUAGGUAGGAGCCUUUGAAACGUGAGCGCUAGCUUACGUGGAGGCGCUGGUGGGAUACUACCCUAGCUGUGUUGGCUUUCUAACCCGCACCACUUAUCGUGGUGGGAGACAGUGUCAGGCGGGCAGUUUGACUGGGGCGGUCGCCUCCUAAAAGGUAACGGAGGCGCUCAAAGGUUCCCUCAGAAUGGUUGGAAAUCAUUCAUAGAGUGUAAAGGCAUAAGGGAGCUUGACUGCGAGACCUACAAGUCGAGCAGGGUCGAAAGACGGACUUAGUGAUCCGGUGGUUCCGCAUGGAAGGGCCAUCGCUCAACGGAUAAAAGCUACCCCGGGGAUAACAGGCUUAUCUCCCCCAAGAGUUCGACAUCGACGGGGAGGUUUGGCACCUCGAUGUCGGCUCAUCGCAUCCUGGGGCUGUAGUCGGUCCCAAGGGUUGGGCUGUUCGACCCAUUAAAGCGGUACGCGAGCUGGGUUCAGAACGUCGUGAGACAGUUCGGUCCCUAUCCGUCGUGGGCGUAGGAAAUUUGAGAGGAGCUGUCCUUAGUACGAGAGGACCGGGAUGGACAUACCUCUGGUGUACCAGUUGUCGUGCCAACGGCAUAGCUGGGUAGCUAUGUGUGGACGGGAUAAGUGCUGAAAGCAUCUAAGCAUGAAGCCCCCCUCAAGAUGAGAUUUCCCAACUUCGGUUAUAAGAUCCCUCAAAGAUGAUGAGGUUAAUAGGUUCGAGGUGGAAGCAUGGUGACAUGUGGAGCUGACGAAUACUAAUCGAUCGAAGACUUAAUCAA